AACUCAUGAUGAGGGCACCUUCUCAACAUAUCCUGAAAUCUCUUCUGUGCAUCAUACAAUGUCCAACUCAAUUUGAGUAAAGGAAGAGAUGUCGUUCCUUAACUU
This is a non-coding RNA of Gossypium arboreum, 105 nucleotides long. Lineage: Eukaryota; Viridiplantae; Streptophyta; Magnoliopsida; Malvales; Malvaceae. The record is from Rfam.